CGUCAGGAAAAAUAAACACGAGGCAUUUGCGGACCCGCACGAUUCUGGAAAAACCUUCGAGAUUAGGCCAGAAAACCCAUAAAUGGUAGGAAUUGAUAAUAAUCUCACCAAGGUCGACAACAACUUCAGCGGUGAAGCUCGACAAAGUAUCUAGAGCAAACUUUUAUUCGACCGGAAAAACACGGGAGCAGUUCCAGCGCUAAACUUCGUCAACAGCAGCAGCGGUAAACAUAAUUCUGGUGAGAAAAAACAUGUUCAGUUCCUCACCCAUGAUUCCGACCACAGACACCAGCAGCUACCGAUUAUAUCGCCAUUACCACCGUCAGUGGCAACAGCAGCACCGCCAAAUAUAACAUCAGCAGGAAGCGUUCCCUAGCACCACAACCCGUUUUCCGGUGGAAAAUAACAUAACAAUAUACUCCGUGGAAAAAUAAGUGCCGCAGUCAAAUCAAGUCGAGUCAGGAAAAAACCCGAGGCCGAUUCCGGAAAAGUAAUGAAGCUCGACAAAGUACAGGAUGCAAUGAAAAAAUUCCAUCAUCCGGUCGGACAAAUAACGGAGCAGAUCCAGCACCAAAAGGUGAACAUUGGGCCGGAACAACCAGUAUUACUUCAUCACAAGUCGUCUGGCGGAAGAACCUCAUCUAGUUAGUUCCUCAGCCACAAUUGCGACAACCAAAACCAGCCGCCGCUUAUCGUACCGCUAUCACCAACACCAGCGUUAACAGCAGCACUACCAAAUCUAACAUCAGACAUUCGUCGGAAGCGUUCCUUCGCAUUACUACCCGCUCUCCGGCGGAAGAAACCAUCAACACAGCAGCAGCAGGUACCAUUCCCGUCUGUACCGCAAGAAACAAAUCAGUUCAGCAGCAACAGCUGCCGGUUCAACAUCUGCCUCGAGGAGUCAAUUUUCUUUUCCCACAUCAGAAGCGCACCAGGCGGCGGUUGGAAACAGAAGUUCCCUCACAAAAUCUUUCGCGCCACCGGUCAUUGCACAAGCAAACGGAACCAGCAUCAAAAACAAUAAAAAUACUCCCUGGUGGUAACUACAGAAAUAGCACAAAAGGAGCAAACUCUGAUGUUUGAACCAAUUCUACAUAAGAUACCCCGUAAUCAGCCCAUUUAGUGAUAUUUUGCCCGCAGAAUCUUCUGGCUGAGAGUAAACUGGAAAAAGGCCGACAAAUUUGUUCCGGGUUGGAUGAUAAAACUGUCCCCGGACGAUGGGGUAUGUUGAAGUAGUGUCCAGGCGGGCAACUUGUAGUUCCUGUACAUCGAUUUAGUGAUUGCACUUUAAGAUCUAGUAUUGAAGACUAACUCUUUUGAUUUGAAAAAGAUUCAUCCCGCGAAAUACUUGCAACACCGUGCACUGGGCCGAAAGAAUCAUUGUGACGUGGCAAAAAAAUACGAUGGCAACAUCUGCAAUGCAAUGUCAACGAGAAGCUGUGACAAACCUGGAUCAAAACUGGAGGAAUCGGUUUGUGAAUCGUGGAUCGUCGCCAGACUGACUAUUUAGUCUUUUUCGUGGGUGAGAUGGGACAAAGAAGUUUACAAGAAAUGCCAGUUUAAACAACAAAGAAUGUUAUCGAAAGUGGACUUGAUGAUUAAAAAACCAACAAUAGAAACAUCACCUUCGGCUCAACAGAAACGAUAAUUUCAGCACCAUUAACGGGAUAUUAAAGCCCUUUAAUCGCCUUGUUCCCUUCCGGCUAAGGUUGAUGAUACAAAAAAGUUGCCAACAAAUUAAGAAACUGGAGCCAGUCGUGCUGGAAACGUUUGGUGGCCAAUUAAUGUAAUCGAAAAGGUUUUGGCUAAGCGGUUCAAUUGUCGCCGUAUAGGAGCAAGAAUCUGGCGAAAUGACUGCCCCUCGCCAUAGCGACACCGAACAAAGCCCUCGGCACCGGCAUUUCCCAGAAGUUGCGAGAUCUUGCCACAUCGACGGGUCGCCUCCUCAGAGUCCGACCUGGAAAAUAAUACGCGUGGGGACGCUUUCUACAAAUGAUGGUGCGGGUGGCUGCGUCGGAAGCAGCAUGGGAUGAAUCAAUGGGAGCCUUGCGCUAACUUCCGGAAUUGGUUCAAGCAGUAGCAAAGGUUGCGAUUCCGGUUCGGAUCACUUCCCAAAGAAACAUAAAGAUGAUCUGAUAGCAUAGCAUCAAUAGGACAGAUAGAAGAAGAUUUUGAUUUGGAAUUGAAUAGAUUAUUUUGUUUUCAGUGUAGGUACUAUUGACACAUUUGCUUUAACACUAACUGCUUUAGUAGUGACAUAGCAAUAACCAUAACGUUAUCAAUCAACCCGUAAAUAGGUAUCAAUUAUUUAUUUAAACCUAGAACGAAAGAAUUUGGUUGUUUGAAUGAAAAAACGAAACAGAAUCGAACUGAUAUCAACUACGCGGAAUAGCUGCGUCUAGAAGUUAGUGAAAGAGAAAGCGGAGUUUGAGAUGUGUAAACAAAGAAUUGUACAGAAACUUUAAUGCAAAGUCAAAAACAAAGAUAAAAAGAGAAAAGUGUUAUUCAAAACUGAAGUAAAAACAUCUAUCAGCAACAAGUACCUAAAGGAAUAAAUAAGAAUAUUUUUUCAUACUAGAAAAAUAACAAAAUAGAAUACUGCAAGUAAGUUUAUACAAAAACAUGGAGUAGUACAGUCGCUUAUAAGACUUUUUGUUUAGCACCAAUUUAAGACUUAGAUGCUUGUUCCACAGUGGAGAAACAAGA
Molecule: long non-coding RNA, 2706 nt
Organism: Uranotaenia lowii
Lineage: Eukaryota; Metazoa; Arthropoda; Insecta; Diptera; Culicidae
Exons: 6
Source: RefSeq, a predicted model, not a curated record